Long non-coding RNA from Triticum aestivum (bread wheat), 386 nucleotides. RefSeq lists it as uncharacterized. Lineage: Eukaryota; Viridiplantae; Streptophyta; Magnoliopsida; Poales; Poaceae. The transcript is spliced from 3 exons. The record is from RefSeq and is a predicted model, not a curated record.
CGACGACGGCGACUCAUUCCUGGCCGCGACGGUGACGGCGACUCGCUCCUGGCCGCGACAGUGACGACGACUCGCUCCUGGCCGCGACGGCGACGUUGGCCGGCAGCCGUGACCUGACCGUGACGGCGAAUCGCUCAUCCUCCUCUGCUCCACCAAGAACUGUUAAGAGUGAUUUGGAGGAUUCAAGAUUCUGUGAAGCUCUUUUGACAUUUAAAGCUCAGAACUGAAGAUAAUGGAUACGAGUAACCAUGAUGAUGGAUAUGAGUCAUGUACUGAUUCUGAGGAGGAGGAGGAGGAGGAGAUGAUGUUUCUUGUCUUCCCGGCAAUAUAUUGUAUAUCUUCUAGGAGGGAAAAGAUUCCAGUGAAUACAUCCAUUCUUACGGGAG